Molecule: long non-coding RNA, 648 nt
Filed under: Triticum aestivum (bread wheat)
Lineage: Eukaryota; Viridiplantae; Streptophyta; Magnoliopsida; Poales; Poaceae
Description: long non-coding RNA (TAES_LNC020337)
Source: RNAcentral
UCAAGGCCGCCGGCGGCGCUGUCGUGCUCGUUGCCUAGGGUUCUGUUCGCGACCGUGCCUUGAGAUCUAUUAUAUCUGAACUAUUAGUUGUUUCCCGUACCAGCAAUUUGUGUUGAACAAGACAUCGUUAGUUUGUUAUCCUGGUUCCUGUGUGGUAAACCAACAUCUUAUGAGAAUUUUGCGCUAUGUUAUGCCAGUUUAUAUCAGACGAGUUAUCCAUAUCUGUGCUCCUAUUUAUGUUUCGUUUGAUCUGUGUUAAUCCCUAAUGUUAUCAAUCCCUAAUGCAUAUACUGUUAUUUGCUAUGGUGCAUCACCAUAAGAUUCUAUGCCUGCUAGUCAUCUUAACUUCAUGAUUCUAUGCCUGCUAGUCAUGUGAACUGUAUGAUUCUAUGCCUGCUUGUGCUUGUCAUGUGACAUGUGAACUGUAUGAUUUUGAUUUGCACUAUGUUAUGCUUUGUUUUCUCUUUGUUAAUCUUGUCAUAGUGUAUUACUUCAGGAUUCUAUUUCUUGUAGUCAUAGUGAACUUUGAAUUGUAUGCCAAUGAUUUGCUUGCUUGAUGACAUUGAACUUGAUGUCUGUAGGAGGUUGUUUGUAGACAUACUCAUAGUUAACAUGAUGCAGUAGUUUGUCUUUGGAAUUCCUAGCAGG